This 253-nucleotide ribosomal RNA is filed under the name uncultured bacterium. RNAcentral's name for it is "partial 16S ribosomal RNA". It matches the Rfam family "Bacterial small subunit ribosomal RNA", at positions 524 to 776 of the family's 1533-position model. The record is from RNAcentral.
UACGAAGGGGGCUAGCGUUGUUCGGAAUUACUGGGCGUAAAGCGCAUGUAGGCGGAUAUUUAAGUCAGGGGUGAAAUCCCGCGGCUCAACUGCGGAACUGCCUUUGAUACUGGGUAUCUUGAGUAUGGAAGAGGUGAGUGGAAUUCCGAGUGUAGAGGUGAAAUUCGUAGAUAUUCGGAGGAACACCAGUGGCGAAGGCGGCUCACUGGUCCAUUACUGACGCUGAGGUGCGAAAGCGUGGGGAGCAAACAGG